UACAGAGGGUGCAAGCGUUAAUCGGAAUGACUGGGCGUAAAGGGCGCGUAGGUGGAUUGAUGAGUCAGAUGUGAAAGGCCUAGGCUUAACCUGGGAACUGCAUUUGAUACUGUUAGUCUAGAGUAGAGUAGAGGGGAGUGGAAUUUCCAGUGUAGCGGUGAAAUGCGUAGAUAUUGGAAGGAACACCGGUGGCGAAGGCGGCUCCCUGGGCUCUAACUGACACUGAGGCGCGAAAGCGUGGGGAGCGAACAGG
This 253-nucleotide ribosomal RNA is filed under the name uncultured bacterium. RNAcentral describes it as "partial 16S ribosomal RNA". It matches the Rfam family "Bacterial small subunit ribosomal RNA", at positions 524 to 776 of the family's 1533-position model. The record is from RNAcentral.